Danio rerio (zebrafish) is the source of this 931-nucleotide non-coding RNA. NCBI's taxonomy places the organism in Eukaryota, Metazoa, Chordata, Actinopteri, Cypriniformes, Danionidae. The record is from RefSeq and is a predicted model, not a curated record.
UUGGACUGACGUCACUGGUGAAUACAGCGUGAGCGCGCAUUUUCUAAUGGCUGCUGAUCACUAUUGCAGAAAGAUCAGAGCAAGGCCAAACAGGAUGAGAUGAAAAUGUGUAUCAAUAAUUCAACCAAAUAGUGUGGAAGAAUUUUAAGCAAGAAUUAUAUUGGUCUCUUGAUCAUCACUGCCCACAGCUGAUUCAGAUCUUCAGGUCUAAGUGAGGAUUCACUGGACAGAUUUUUAUCUUCUACAAAAUAUCAAGGCGUCUGACCUCACUGACAUGCCAUGUGUUGCCGUUUGAGUGCUUCCAGUAGUUGUUGGUGAUGACCCAACAGUUCUUCAAAGCAUGUUUUGCUUCAGAUGAUGGAGACUCAAAUCAACAUGUGCCCGUUGGAAUUCUUAACUGAGAAAAUGAAGAUGUGGCACUGCAACCCCUGUCCUUCCACCUCCACCCAUCCGCUGUGGGAAUCAUCUUGGAGGGAAAUGUUGUAAUGGACAAUAUAGACAAUAUACCCCAGGCCAAGUGUCUUUUUGGAUCAACCUAUGCACUGCACCUAGGCUACACAAAAUGCAUGGACAAUACCAUUCUUUUUAUUCAACAAGUUUGGGUAAGAAGACGCUGUAGGGUAAGAUUCUGGCUGUUAAAAAUCAACUUGUCAUGUAAACUGGUACAGAAAAAGCAUGCUCCUUCAGGCUUGCUGUCCUAACUGUGAGAUAAAAUAAAUUAAAACUAUGCUUUAGUGUUUGGCAAGUGUAAAUAUUCCAUAAUGUUACAAUGUAAUAAUAUCCUGUGGUUGUUUAUUAUUUGGAUAUGUUUGUAAAAAUUUAUUAAAAUAUUUUAAACGGGUGUUUUAAUGAAAUUUAUAAAAAUAAAUAUUGACUAAUUGUUAUACAAGGCAUUUUCUUGUUUUGUCACUUGUUUCAGAGUAAUAUUUCU